This 329-nucleotide unclassified non-coding RNA is filed under the name soil metagenome. RNAcentral describes it as "partial contains 5.8S ribosomal RNA, internal transcribed spacer 2, and large subunit ribosomal RNA". The stretch from base 1 to 120 matches the Rfam family "5.8S ribosomal RNA", at positions 35 to 154 of the family's 154-position model. The record is from RNAcentral.
GAUGAAGAACGCAGCGAAAUGCGAUAAGUAAUGUGAAUUGCAGAAUUCAGUGAAUCAUCGAAUCUUUGAACGCACAUUGCGCCCCCUGGUAUUCCGGGGGGCAUGCCUGUCCGAGCGUCAUUACAACCCUCAAGCUCAGCUCGGUGUUGGGCCCCGCCGCCCCGGCGGGCCCUAAAGUCAGUGGCGGUGCCGUCCGGCUCCGAGCGUAGUAAUUCUUCUCGCUCUGGAGGUCCGGUCGUGUGCUCGCCAGCAACCCCCAAUUUUUUUCAGGUUGACCUCGGAUCAGGUAGGGAUACCCGCUGAACUUAAGCAUAUCAAUAAGCGGAGGA